RNAcentral lists this transfer RNA (72 nucleotides) under Candidatus Dojkabacteria bacterium. RNAcentral describes it as "tRNA-Glu". It matches the Rfam family "tRNA". From Rfam's summary of the family: Transfer RNA (tRNA) molecules are approximately 80 nucleotides in length. The record is from RNAcentral.
GGCCCUAUCGUCUAACGGUUAGGACAGCAGAUUCUCAAUCUGUAAAUCCGGGUUCAAUUCCCGGUAGGGUCA